AGAGUUUGAUCAUGGCUCAGAUUGAACGCUGGCGGCAUGCCUUACACAUGCAAGUCGAACGACGUCAGGGGGCAACUCCUGGCGAGUGGCGAACGGGUGAGUACAACAUCGGAACGUGUCCUGUCGUGGGGGAUAACCAGUCGAAAGACUGGCUAAUACCGCAUGAGAUCGAAAGAUGAAAGCGGGGGACCGCAAGGCCUCGCGCGAUAGGAGCGGCCGAUGCCGGAUUAGCUAGUUGGCGGGGUAAAAGCCCACCAAGGCUACGAUCCGUAGCUGGUUUGAGAGAACGACCAGCCACACUGGGACUGAGACACGGCCCAGACUCCUACGGGAGGCAGCAGUGGGGAAUUUUGGACAAUGGGCGCAAGCCUGAUCCAGCCAUGCCGCGUGUGUGAAGAAGGCCUUCGGGUUGUAAAGCACUUUCGGACGGAACGAAAUCGCACGGGCGAAUAUCCCGUGUGGAUGACGGUACCGUAAGAAGAGA
This 484-nucleotide ribosomal RNA is filed under the name uncultured Methylibium sp. RNAcentral's name for it is "bacterial SSU rRNA". It matches the Rfam family "Bacterial small subunit ribosomal RNA", at positions 8 to 490 of the family's 1533-position model. Lineage: Bacteria; Pseudomonadati; Pseudomonadota; Betaproteobacteria; Burkholderiales; Sphaerotilaceae. The record is from RNAcentral.